This 451-nucleotide ribosomal RNA is filed under the name uncultured bacterium. RNAcentral's name for it is "partial 16S ribosomal RNA". It matches the Rfam family "Bacterial small subunit ribosomal RNA", at positions 29 to 523 of the family's 1533-position model. The record is from RNAcentral.
AGCGAACGCUGGCGGCAGGCUUAACACAUGCAAGUCGAGCGGGCAUAGCAAUAUGUCAGCGGCAGACGGGUGAGUAGCGCGUGGGAACGUACCUUUUGGUUCGGAACAACACAGGGAAACUUGUGCUAAUACCGGAUAAGCCCUUACGGGGAAAGAUUUAUCGCCGAAAGAUCGGCCCGCGUCCGAUUAGCUAGUUGGUGAGGUAAUGGCUCACCAAGGCGACGAUCAGUAGCUGGUCUGAGAGGAUGAUCAGCCACAUUGGGACUGAGACACGGCCCAAACUCCUACGGGAGGCAGCAGUGGGGAAUAUUGGACAAUGGGCGCAAGCCUGAUCCAGCCAUGCCGCGUGAGUGAUGGAGGCCCUAGGGUUGUAAAGCUCUUUUGUGCGGGAAGAUAAUGACGGUACCGCAAGAAUAAGCCCCGGCUAACUUCGUGCCAGCCGCCGCCGUAA